This is a long non-coding RNA of Medicago truncatula (barrel medic), 3145 nucleotides long. RefSeq lists it as uncharacterized. The record is from RefSeq and is a predicted model, not a curated record. NCBI's taxonomy places the organism in Eukaryota, Viridiplantae, Streptophyta, Magnoliopsida, Fabales, Fabaceae. The transcript has 2 exons.
CUCUGUCUUUCCUUUUUCAUAUUAAUUGUGUGUGUCUUCUUCUGAGGUUGCAUUUUUUCAGAGCUCUCUAAGCCAAGCCAACAUGCAUGACUCUCAUCCACACUGAAAGUGAAACCAAACCAAGUACCAGGUCAGGGUACGUUUUCUUGCACUCUACAUGUUAUGUACUUACGAAGUUGUAGGAAAUGAGAAAUAAAUUUCAUUCUUCAUUUUUUCCAUUUCUAUUUACAUGUUCCUACUUUGGUACUAUGAAUAUGGUGUUAUCUUGUUUAUCAUAGUACGUGCUUUAGAUUUUAAUUUAUGUUCCCCUUCCAUGUUUUAGUUUUUUAACUUUUUUUUUUUUUUAAAGGGCUUACAUGUUUUUUUAGUUGUUUUUAUAUUACAUUAAUCAAUGUUUUAGUACACGUUACGAUGCAUGUUUUAUUUUUUUCCAAAGAUUUUAUUUUAUUUUAUUAUCGUUUUCUAAUAAUUUUGAGACAUGCUACUCAGCUACUGGUAAACACAGGCAAGCUCAUAUGAUUGAGCAAAAUUGGUUUUUACUUGAUUGUUAAGCAAUGUUUUUUGCUGUGUUUUUAUGCUCUCAGCAAUUUUCCAGCUAACAUUUUGUGAUCCCAAUUUGACAUCCCGAAUCUGAAAAUUGAGAUCUUCCAUGGUUUGUUCGUCUGUUAUAUCGUAGUUAUUGAUAGCACAUCACUUGACACUCUAAGCUGUUCCUACUGAUUUGCAACUCAAAACCAGCAACCACAGCUUAAUAGUAGAAAAAUAAUCUUGUUAUGCUAAACAGUGUCCGAGGAGGCACCGGUUAAACAUCCAAAACAAGAAAGUUUUAUAAAAAUGUAAUCAUUUUUUGAUCAAAAGUAACACUUUAUAUUUCUAAGACAAACUUUAUAUUAUACCGUACCAUGUCAGUAUCUAAAUCCAUUUCAAACAUAGAAUGGAAAUAAUAAAAUCUUGUAAAUUAUUUAGUGGCAUCAAAUAUAAAAAUGUAAGUAAAAAUGGAUAAAAUAUAAGUUGAUGUAUUUGAUAUAAAUUUUGAACUAGAUAAUUGACCAAUUUUUUUUUCAUAUAUUUUGGAAUGGAGAACGUAUAUCUAACUUAUGUUCAACUGUCUAAUCAUAUUCCUUUUUUUUUUUUUUCGGUUAAGAAUCAUAAUUCAACUAUGUUGCGGUAUUUCUUGUCAAAAAUACACUGGUGACAUAUCUGGUAUUUAUUAUUGACUUAUUUUGACGUUAUAUUGUUGCCAGUACUUGCUAGAACGCUUGGUUUUUUUCUUUUUUCUUUCUGGGAUUUUAUAAAAAUUUAAAUUAAAACCAGGGUUUUGCUAAGGUGUCCAAGAAUGAUGUUUUAUUAUUCCAUUAAAUUGUUGGGUCUUUCUAUUUUUCAUUACCUCGUGUAGGAAUUCAUGCAGCGUUAGUUAAAGUUAUUGCAAUUCAAUCAUCAUAAGCUCAGACUCAUAGCAUCAUAUCACAGAUAUGAUUAGUUAAUUGUUUACAAUACAACAAGGGAUUCAUGAAAAUACUAGAGACUCUAUAAGCCUAUGACUGGAUUCAUUAGAACAUAUCGCAGUUUGAAUUAAGGUAUGUUUGGAUUGACUUACUUGAGCUUAUCUGAUAACAUAAGCACUUUUGAGACUGUUUGGGAGAAUCUAAGAAAACAACUUAUGACAUGUUGUAAGCUAUUUUCAGCUUAUUUUCAUAAACUCUCCAGGAUAGCAUAUAUGAAAACAACUUGACUUUAUUUUAUUUUUGUUAUAGAAAUUGUCUUUAGAUGUGCUUACAUGAUAGGUGUUUAUGCUAUAAUCUUUUAAUUAAGUUGUUUAUCUAAACACAACUUUUAUAGAUAUGCCAUAUUUUAAAUAAUGCCAUAUUUUAAGUAAUUAUGUAGUCAUUCAGAAUUUUUGUUAGAGCUUAUUGGGAGCAAGCAGACAAACCAAUAAAUAUUAGUUAGUACCCCAGUAAAUAUUGGUUAUGUACCUCAGUAGGGGAGGACCUUUUGGUCAACCUGCUUGGUAACUUUCUUUUCUCAAGUCAAUUUUUCAUGCAACCAAUCUUAAUCUGACUAUAUUUUGUAUUGGGUGUGAAUUAGAGCUAGUUCAUCAUAUAUGAAUUCACCUGUUGUAAACACACCUGGGACCGGGUAUGCACUAAUGAAACUAGCUUUGUGCUGUAUGUCUGUAAAGAUUUGGGCUGUUGGGUGCUAAAUAAACCAUCUCAUCAAGUAGGAAACCAACUAAGAGUUCAACAAUCCGCAAAUGAAUAUUGGGUUCGCUGCUGAGAAAAGAGAAACUGGGCGAAGUCCUAUUUCAGUUACAAAACCGGGUGAAGUCAGAGAGAGGAAAUUACUAUGGUUCUUUACAGUUAGUAUUCUAACCAAAUCAAACUUGUACUAGGGAAAACCUUCUUGGGUUAUCAUGUAGACUAAAAUGGCAAGUCAUAUAUAGUUAGUAGAUUUUUUUUGACCGCGUAAUUGUGCCCUAACCCACCAACCAGGUGAGUCUCUGCUUGGAGGUCAGUCAUGGUAGGUGUCAUGUGUGAUCUAAUGUUGGGUUACAAAGCGCAAGAAACAUUUUUUCCUGAAAAAACGUAAUACUUACAAGACUGUGUAUUUGGCAAGUUAGUCCAAUCAUGUGGGAUCAUCUUCACUUCUGAGGCCUUGAUCAAGUCAAACAGUGCUUGAUUAACCUGAAUUUUGAAAUGUUUUAGCUCAUUUUCAAUGCAUCUUUAUAGACAAAGAACAAUGUGCAAGUUCUGCAGUAAGUGUGCUAUAUACAGUUCAAUUCAUUAGGUAUAUAUUACAUGCCAAUUAUACCUCUUCAGGCCGCUCAUGACUCACUAAAUGACCUCCGUGAAGCUCUACCAGCCGAGCCAUUGGAUGAAACCUCUCCGCAAGUCUUCUUGCAUAAUAUAGCUGAGCAAUUAUAUCAGCCCUGAAUGUGCAGCAAUCUCAAGUUAAAACUAUGAAAUCGAUACUAAUGUGUGUGACUGGUGUGCAGCAUUUUCAUGCAUAUUUUGCCUAAUGCAUGUGCAAAUAAUCUGUCCUGAUUGAAUGUCAAGUUUCACUUAUAAAGCACUGCAUUAAUGUCUCUAUACACAGUACACACCUGCCAUGAAUGACUGAAACAAGAAAACCUGCAGAUUUGAUUGCU